This is a long non-coding RNA of Fukomys damarensis (Damara mole-rat), 4771 nucleotides long. Lineage: Eukaryota; Metazoa; Chordata; Mammalia; Rodentia; Bathyergidae. The record is from Ensembl.
AUGGUAACUGGGUGACCUGGAAGGUGACACCUGGACCCACUCACCUGGAUUCGGGGCAGUGAUCACUCCUCCUGGGCCGCUGUGUGGAUCCUUGCAUGGACCAUGUAUGCCGGCUUUGACCUUGCUGGCUGCUGCCACUGUUAGGUGAGCACAGACGGCCCCACCCCCAGUGCUGGGAUUAAAUUGGCCCAUGUGGGCCGGAGGGAGCUUGGGGUUUGAACUAGAGUCACUGCGCCUUUAUCCAGAGCCAGCCCCGACUGAGGUCUCUGGGGACCGGGCGCCGUCCUGGUGGAGCAGCUUCCUGUGCUCGGUGCCCUCCUCUGUCCCCCCGAACACCCAACACCGUAGCAGCUGGGAGCACCCCACCUCUGCCGGGCUGCUGUGGAUCCGAGGACGUGGUGUGUCUUCAGGGCUGGUGGCCGCCACUGUCCCCUGGGGGGCACGGAGGGCUGGUUCCCAGCUGCAGCCCUAUUUUGCAGGUGGGUAAAUGGAGGCUCCGAGGCACAGCUGCUUUCUCAGGGCCACAGCCAGAAUGGGCCGGGUGGGCAGCAGCAGGGAGCAAAGCCAUGACCAGGUCGCCCCCCAGCUCGCCCGCCGUGUGCAGGGGCGGUGCUGCCCGCUGCCCGCUGUUUGUGUAGGGCGUCUUCCUCACAUCCCUCCCUGUGCGCUGCCAGCAACCCGUCCCCAGAGGGCCGCCGGGCGGUGAGAGCCUGGGAAUCCUCUUAUCUCUCGGAGCAGGAUGCGUCCUGUGCUGUGUCCCCAGCGAGGCUUCCAAGAGUGGUGAUGAGCUUGCAGAUUCCAGAGGGUGAUUGCUCCAGCUCAGGGGUGGGCGGGGGGGGGCAUGUUUUGUUUCCCAGGCCCCUCGGCACUGCGGCCAGGCUCCUGCCACCACCCCUCUACCCGUGUCCCUGGCCCUUUCAGCUGCCCCGAAUCCAGGAACCCCUGUGCAGGCCGGGCCUCAGACAGCCAGUGUGAACCGGCCAGGGGUGAGUUCCUGUUUCCGCCCAUUCUUCCCACUGGGCAGUGGGUAGCUCCCGGCUCCCGCAGGGGAGGGGCAGCAUGGUGCGGUGCGCGGGGUGGCCUGCAGGGGCGCUGGGCAGGGGACAGGCCGCGCCCCCGACAUUGGUGUCAGACCGAAGUGGGACAAUCCUGGAGAUGCUUCCGAGAGCUGACCAGACUCUGCGCUCCCACCUCUGACCUCCUUGCCGCACAAGUUCCUGUCCUGGCCUCACAGAGGGAUAUGGGUGCCUGCCACGGUGAUCCUCGCCCUGCACAUCCCCGCAGCAGAGAGCCACAGCCCCAGAGACCUGUCACCCACUCAGUGCCUCCCAACGGCUCUACGCCAGUCUUCCGUUCUCCUGUCACCUUUACUGUCACCCAUGUCUCUGGUCUCCAGACGUCACAGCGUCAGCGGGUCUGCCCCGCCUGCAUUUCCUACCUAAUCAGGAUGUCACAGUUGUGUCUGCAUUGAAGAGACACAGAGGGAGCAUCAGGGACCUGAAGAAAUAAAGCUCGUUCUCUUCAUGUGUUCUGGGUGCUAAAGACCUCCAGCACCUUCCUCAUUCUUCUGUGAACUCUGGAAGUCGGCCUCGGGGUCACCAAGUGCAGAGGGUUGGGGGUCUGUGGUUCACAGCCAGAGAAAAGUGUCCCUUUCCCCAGGGUCGUGGAGUCUGCUGGCUGCCACAGGCUUCUGGCAGCUCCACAGUUGGAUUUCUGGUUUCCUGGUCGAGCGGCCAGGUGCACUGUGUGGGCCCUGCACCUGCCAGUGCCCCUCUCCCCGUGCCCUGGUUGGGCCCAAGACACGGGAGCCACCUGGAGACUGGGCAGGGUGGGGUGAGCAGGCACCUUCCAGCCAGGGUGUUCCACAAGUGGUCUGCACAGCAGCUGCAGGCUGGGGAGGUGGACACGGGUCCCACGCCACGUCUGGGACUCUAUUCUGGUAUCCAGGGCAUGUGGAGCAACUGAGAAGCGGUGUCCCCCUUGUCAGCAUGAGUGGGAACUCACCCCGAGUCCAUUUUCACAUCUGCUAAGCAGGCACAACAGGGCCUAUUGUGACAGUUGAUCCUCACACGUUGCUCUCUGGGUUGAGAGAUGUCCACUAAGGCGGUCGAGCACCUUCUGCAGCGUGGCUGGGUGGCCUGCAGGUGUGGCCGUGGUUGCCGUGUCUGGGCCUCUCUGCUGGUGCUCUUCUGCUCUGCUUCCUGGCUGCUGUGAGCCGAGCAUCCUUCCUCUGCCACGUCCUUCUGCCGCCAUGCUCCCGCCUGGGAGUGGGCCAGCCGUGAACUGAGUACCCCAAGCCAUGAGCCAGAUAAACCCCACCUCUCUUAAGUUGUGGUGGUGCUGGGUCCCAGGGACAGGGCAGCUGAUCACUACACCGGCCUCCUGAUACUACUUUUCAGACAGAGCGGAGACGUCUCUGCAGAGCACACAUCAGUGCUCUGUGGCUACUGUUUGGUCAGCGUCAUUUCCGAGGCAGAGGUGAAGCCAUAUUUGAGCACAAGUGCCAGGUGACUGUGUCUCGCCUCCCUCUACCAAGCUGCAGUUCCACGGCGCCGCGUCUUGCCCGUCGUGCCUGAUUCCCAACUAUGGCCGACAGAGUGACUCCCCGAGGAGUCUGCACCCGCAGAGCAGGAGUCCGUGCUGUCACGUGGCCGAAGGGACUUCACAGAUGUCCUGGGUGAAGGGUCCUGAGCCAAGGUGACCAGGUCAGCGCAGGUGGAGGCAGGCGGCGGGACGCGGAGGGGGCUCGCCCAGCCUGGGGCAUCCAGCUUGAACCCAGACCACGAGGGACAGGAUGCAAAGGCCACGUCCCUUCUCCUGCCAGCCUGAGGAGCUGCCCCUGGCACCCGGUCACGGUAAGAAAGCCAGGCUCAGGAAGACUGGGACUGGCCAGCAGAGAGCGGGCGCGGCGUCCCCCAUGGCACGGGUUCCCCUGCUGGGUUUGGGACCUCUGUGUGCAGCGCCUGGCACCUUUGCACCAAGUGGCAGAUGGGAACAUUCGCCAGCAGCCGGAGGUGGCGCCUUCCCCAGAGCCCAGUGCAGGGGAGAAACCGGGGUCCCAGGCCGGAGCCACGGGGCAGCAGCUGUGUCAGCCCGGGAGGGGACGCGCCCCCCACUGCGCCUGUCUGUUCCUCCUGCAGCUCCCCAGGCUCCUGCUUCCAUGGGGCACCGCAUCCAGCUUGAUUGCUGUUAAAUGUUGAAAACUAAUUUGGGGAGCGAUUUUCAGUUUGAGGUCAGUGCCAGACGCGAAGGCUCCCGGGGCAGCCGGGCCAGCAGGCAGGCAGGCGCUCCUGCAGGCUGGGAUAUUCGAUCCCUUGGUUCUGCUCGGGACAAGAAGCCCAGUCAGAAAACCCUGAUUUAUGGCCCAGCUCGGGCUUCCUGUUACUCUAAACCUGAGCAUGCAGCCAGCACCACCGCCUCCCUCUGUACCUGCCUCACUGCUCACACAGCAAGGUCGGGCUGAAAAAUUGGGGUUUCCGGGGCUCUCAGGCUGCCAUUUGAAAAAUUAGGGUGAAUGUCACAGGGCGUGACCUUUCCGAUUUCCAAGUCCACUCUUGGUGGCUCCUGGCACCAUCCCAGUGAUGCACGUGCAUCUCCAACUGGUUCCCAGAGGAACCUGGGUCUUUGCUGCAGUCGCCCCGGCCCCUGGCAGGCCCCACACCACACGGCCACCUUGCCUGGCCUUGCGCGUGAUGCACGUCUUACGUAGGACAGUCCACUCAGUGGACAGGGUGAGGCCUUGAGGCUCGUGUGUCCACCCUGGCCCCUCCUGUCCUCACCACGUCCCUCCUGCCUGCAGACUCUGCAGAAUCCUUGGCCACCUGAUCACUGUGUCUGCUGUAUUUGUGUGUAUUUGAGGCUGACCCGGGUUCUCAGGGUGUGAUUCCUUUCUGCACCAUGUUUUUUGUCCAUCUAAAGCACUGCGUAUAAUCCCCACCCAGAGAAGGGUUAGGGUUCGGGUUUGUUGACUGAAUAAGUGAGUGAAUGAAUAGUUGCACACAGGUGUUGCCUGGGUCUAGCAUGGUCCAUAGACCUCAGGAGCCCUUGUUGACUGAUCUGGAGAGGCGGGGGCUUCCUGGGCAGCAGGCCUGUUCCUCCUCAGUGUGAGUAGGUGAGGAUCUAUGACAUGGAUAAGCAAGCCUCAGCCUCAAAGGCAGACAGCGUGCUGUUCACCGGGCCUCCCGCUGGCUGCGGUCUCUGCAGAUGAGGCUCCAGUGGCUGCUGCCCAGCCCUGGCCAAGUUGGGUGGAGCUCAAGAUCCAUCUGCCCAUUUCCCACCGGCCUGCUGCAGCCACCCUGGUUGGGCCUGGGAGCGUUGUCCGUCCGUCCAUCCAUCCGUCUGCGGAGCAAGCCACCUGCAUGCUUAGGGCUCGGGCCAGGUGUGCCCGGGGCAGCAGUGUGGGCACCACGGGCUCGGCGUCCAGGCCGUGGACGUGCGGUCAGGGCUGAUGCAGGGUAACGUGUAUCUUCAGGCCCAGCUUCCCCUCUGCUCCUUCAGCCCCCUCGGAACACAGCCGUGAAGCUGAAGACCUGGCUGCAGCCCAGGUGCCGUUUCAGGGACUGCGUGUUCCCAGUGCCAGGCCAGGAGCCCCGGAUUCAGAGGAGGCGGCUGCUGUCCCAGGAGCCUGGAGCUCCAGGAAUCCCCUUAAACAACGUGGGACUGUAAGGAGGUGAUCGCUUCCUGCAUGUUAGGACCCAGGAGAAGUUCCAGAGUUUUGGAAAGAGAUGUAAAGCGAUUAACAUGUAUUGUUUUAUAUUGAUAUAUUGGCUGC